GACGAACGCUGGCGGCGUGCCUAAUACAUGCAAGUAGAACGCUGAAGAGAGGAGCUUGCUCUUCUUGGAUGAGUUGCGAACGGGUGAGUAACGCGUAGGUAACCUGCCUUGUAGCGGGGGAUAACUAUUGGAAACGAUAGCUAAUACCGCAUAACAAUGGCUGCCACAUGUCAUUUAUUUGCAAGGGGCAAUUGCUCCACUACAAGAUGGACCUGCGUUGUAUUAGCUAGUAGGUGAGGUAAUGGCUCACCUAGGCGACGAUACAUAGCCGACCUGAGAGGGUUAACGGCCACACUGGGACUGAGACACCGCCCAGACUCCUACGGGAGGCAGCAGUAGGGGAUCUUCGGCAAUAGGGGCAACCCUGACCGAGCAACGCCGCGUGAGUGAAGAAGGUCUUCGGAGCGUAAAGCUCUGUUGUAAGUCAAGAACGAGUGUGAGAGUGGAAAGUUCACACUGUGACGGUAGCUUACCAGAAAGGGACGGCUAACUACGUG
This 497-nucleotide ribosomal RNA is filed under the name uncultured bacterium. RNAcentral's name for it is "partial 16S ribosomal RNA". It matches the Rfam family "Bacterial small subunit ribosomal RNA", at positions 28 to 507 of the family's 1533-position model. The record is from RNAcentral.